This 416-nucleotide long non-coding RNA is filed under the name Betta splendens (Siamese fighting fish). RNAcentral describes it as "lncRNA (ENSBSLG00000025792.1)". Lineage: Eukaryota; Metazoa; Chordata; Actinopteri; Anabantiformes; Osphronemidae. The record is from RNAcentral.
UUAACCUGCAUGUGUUUGGACUGACAGAGGAACAGAGGAACAGCGGCCCUGCGAGGAGGCGACAGCGCUAACAACUGGAUGGCCUCCCAUUAACCCCGGCCGACGAGAUGCCCUUAAGCUCACGCUCCAUCAGCACCACAGCUGAUAGCUCUAUUCCAGCAGCAAAAACACAAUCACCUCCAGCAUUGACUGGCUGUCGGUGUGAAAGAUAUGGCGUUUAUGAGCGCGAAGCUCGAGCGCUCUGGGGUCUGGAGUGUCCCAGCUGAGCAGGUCAGCACCAACAGGUCAGCACCAACAGGUCAACGCCCACAGGUCAGUGCCUACAGGUCAACGCCCAUAAUCUGCCAACGGGGAAGCGACGGCGCAGUGUCUGAGCUCGUAAACACGCCCGCUCGGCGGCUUUAAACGUGUACGGC